Long non-coding RNA from Setaria italica (foxtail millet), 114 nucleotides. RefSeq lists it as uncharacterized. Lineage: Eukaryota; Viridiplantae; Streptophyta; Magnoliopsida; Poales; Poaceae. The transcript is spliced from 2 exons. The record is from RefSeq and is a predicted model, not a curated record.
AAGCGCUCAAGACAUUAUGUCUACCAGAAGCUUACGCGGACAUUGUGCUGGACCUACCCCAUGCUCUCAAGAGGAUUCUCACCUCUCAGGACAGUGACUGAAUCAUGCGUAGGG